GUGGGGAAUUUUGGACAAUGGGCGAAAGCCUGAUCCAGCCAUGCCGCGUGCAGGAUGAAGGCCUUCGGGUUGUAAACUGCUUUUGUACGGAACGAAAAGACUCUGGUUAAUACCUGGGGUCCAUGACGGUACCGUAAGAAUAAGCACCGGCUAACUACGUGCCAGCAGCCGCGGUAAUACGUAGGGUGCAAGCGUUAAUCGGAAUUACUGGGCGUAAAGCGUGCGCAGGCGGUUAUAUAAGACAGAUGUGAAAUCCCCGGGCUCAACCUGGGAACUGCAUUUGUGACUGUAUAGCUAGAGUACGGCAGAGGGGGAUGGAAUUCCGCGUGUAGCAGUGAAAUGCGUAGAUAUGCGGAGGAACACCGAUGGCGAAGGCAAUCCCCUGGGCCUGUACUGACGCUCAUGCACGAAAGCGUGGGGAGCAAACAGGAUUAGAUACCCUGGUAGUCC
RNAcentral lists this ribosomal RNA (450 nucleotides) under uncultured bacterium. Its description in RNAcentral is "bacterial SSU rRNA". It matches the Rfam family "Bacterial small subunit ribosomal RNA", at positions 354 to 796 of the family's 1533-position model. The record is from RNAcentral.